RNAcentral lists this ribosomal RNA (396 nucleotides) under uncultured bacterium. Its description in RNAcentral is "bacterial SSU rRNA". It matches the Rfam family "Bacterial small subunit ribosomal RNA", at positions 362 to 775 of the family's 1533-position model. The record is from RNAcentral.
UAUUGCACAAUGGGGGAAACCCUGAUGCAGCGACGCCGCGUGAAGGAAGAAGUAUUUCGGUAUGUAAACUUCUAUCAGCAGGGAAGAANNUGACAGUACCUGACUAAGAAGCCCCGGCUAACUACGUGCCAGCAGCCGCGGUAAUACGUAGGGGGCAAGCGUUAUCCGGAUUUACUGGGUGUAAAGGGAGCGUAGGCGGCGAUGCAAGUCAGAAGUGAAAGCCCGGGGCUCAACUCCGGGACUGCUUUUGAAACUGUGUUGCUAGAUUGCAGGAGAGGUAAGUGGAAUUCCUAGUGUAGCGGUGAAAUGCGUAGAUAUUAGGAGGAACACCAGUGGCGAAGGCGGCUUACUGGACUGUAAAUGACGCUGAGGCUCGAAAGCGUGGGGAGCAAACAG